UAACAAAAUAAAUUUUUUUCAUGGAUUGAGUUAAAGACACCAACUGAUCCAAGUUGCUAGUGACACUAAUUGGUGUGUGGAUGGAGUGAUUAGCAGCAUAGAAGUUGUCUCUGUGACUAUGGGGUGGAGUCAUUUGAGAGGGACAAAGAGCUCUCAAAUUAGAGGAUCCGUGUACUGUGCAGUUUGAAAAAGGCCUAAUAAUGUUGCCACGCUGGGAAAGGUUUCAGUUUGAGUUAGAUAAUUCAGCCAAACAGAAAGAUAUGAAAGAGUAGAGGAUAUUUUCUUGUCGUCUUGUAGGAGAUAGGGGGGACGGAGUCAAAUCUGUAAGUGCAACACAAUCGAGUAAACAGGCCCACAUAUGCAAACUCAUACAAAGGGCUUAGAGUAACCUCUACUCAUAGUAUCUCUGGUGCUUCUGCUUCAAGUAAGUUUGUUCCUACUUCAAGAAGAGUGUUCAAAGGGCUAAAGGACUAUGGAAGGAAACUUGUCAACCUAGAACUUUUCACACAAUGUCUUGUGGAUUGGGUUUCUGAGAAAUCAUGUGCAGAUUAUGUGGAUGGCUUUUGGAAUUGCAAAAAAGUAACGUCUUUGGCUUGUCUUGGUUUUGAUAGUUGUUUUUUCAUUCAUUCAUGGAACUGGGUUUGAAAUUAUGGUAAAAUUUUAAUUUUUUUUUUUUUUUUGGAUUUAUCUAUGUGGGUCUAUAACUUCUACUAAGGCUGGGAGUGCAAUGUUAUUUAGUUUUCAAUUUUUUGAGUUAUAUGUGAGGUCUGGUAAACUGAGUGCGAUUUAGAUUUGCUAAGAAAUUGUUUGAUGAAAUGUCUGUGUGAGUUGUAUAUUUUAAUGUAUAAGUUUUUUGUCUGAGAUUUUGAGCAACUAAAAUGUUAUUGUGACUGAAACCUAACUCCCUAUUAAUCUAGUGAAAUGGUUGGAUUGGGUAUAGUAGGGAUUGAUGGGUUCAAUUUAUUUGAGUAAAUGUGAUAUGAGUAUCUAAUAUAAAUAUUGUCAUUGACAUUGGUUCCAGAUUGUGAAUGACUUUCAGUUUUAGAAUGCUAAUGUUUAGAUGUCAUAAUGUAGGAAAAUUUUGGGUAUAAUGUAAAAGUAGAAUCUUUAUCUUUAAUCUAAUUUUUACUCUUUCCAAUUAUUUGUUAUUUGUUAUUCUUUCCCUUUUGUUAUUUGUAAGUAAACUAAAGGAUCAACUUGGCUUUGUGAUAUUUUAUGUCUACUACCGUUUCUAGUACUAUUAUCUAGUGAGGGAUUGGGGUCUGGUGAUGGUGAUGGUGAUGGUGAUGGUGAUGGGUAAAAUGACUUAAACAUUGCAGUCAAGUUUUUCCGGAACCAUCAUUUUAUUCUGCUAAGCAAUCACGUUGCUAGCUAGUUUUAUUUUAUGUGUGAGUAGUUAUGGAAAUGUGCUUUUAGAGCAAUCAAGUUUUACAGCUAAGCCUUGCCUAUCACUGGUCCGAACAGUUCAAAAGCUAAUGCAUGGAGUUGUAAUGACAAAUCCUCAGUAUAUUUGAUAUUACUUAUAUAGCAAAUAUGAGGGUCUUUUUGCGAUGGUCUGCUUUUAAUUAAUCUUUGUUGGGUUCUGAAUGUUUAGAUAGAUAGAUAUAUAGAUAUUUAUCUGCUGCUAGUGAAAUUGGCCAUUUGUAUUUGUACAUGAAAUUCUCCUUGUAUCAUUUCCAAGCAAUUUAGCAAUAAAAGAUAAUGAAAUUCUUAUU
Molecule: long non-coding RNA, 1715 nt
Organism: Quercus lobata
Lineage: Eukaryota; Viridiplantae; Streptophyta; Magnoliopsida; Fagales; Fagaceae
Exons: 3
Source: RefSeq, a predicted model, not a curated record